UGAGUAACCUGCCCUUGACUCUGGGAUAAGCCUGGGAAACUGGGUCUAAUACCGGAUAUGACUCCUCAUCGCAUGGUGGGGGGUGGAAAGCUUUUUGUGGUUUUGGAUGGACUCGCGGCCUAUCAGCUUGUUGGUGAGGUAAUAGCUCACCAAGGCGAUGACGGGUAGCCGGCCUGAGAGGGUGACCGGCCACACUGGGACUGAGACACGGCCCAGACUCCUACGGGNGCAG
This 232-nucleotide ribosomal RNA is filed under the name uncultured bacterium. RNAcentral's name for it is "partial 16S ribosomal RNA". It matches the Rfam family "Bacterial small subunit ribosomal RNA", at positions 118 to 347 of the family's 1533-position model. The record is from RNAcentral.